GGGGACCUGUAUAGAAAUAAACAUGCUGGUUCUGGCUUGAUUGAGGGUGUGGAGCCUUAGAGUCAUAUAUCUGCGUUGGUUGGUUUGGAAGAGGUCCGGCUUCGGGGGGUUCAUUGGUGAAGCCUCUUGAUGGCAGAGUCGUGUACUCGUAAUCUGACAUUUUGUAAGGAUUUUAGAAAAUACCUACUCUUGUGAUGGAGAGUGUUUUUGGAGUUUCCAGUUUUGUGGCCGUUACUGUUGUAUCAUUAACAAGGACAUUCUUGGCUCGAGAGAAUAAUUUUUUGUUUUUUGAAUUGAAGUAAUAUACUUAACAAUUUUGUUAUUUUUAAUAAUAGUUCAUGUUGUUAAAUUUUAUUUAAUCUAUGAUUUGGACUUUAUUUCUGUUUUAAAAAAAACUUAUGUAAAUUAAACAUCGUAUAAAAGAUGUGCCGAUAAGAGGAGUCUUGUCUUGCCUGGUCGACCGUUCUGGAAUGUUGUGGCUGUUGUGUCAUCGUAUUUGUUUGAAGAUUGUGGUAUUGUGCUUAGUAUUGGUGUGACUCUUUUUGUUCUUGAACUACGAGGGGCAGCAAGAAUUUUGGCUAUUGGUAUUAUUUAUGAUUAUUGAGAUAUAUUGUGAAGUAUUUGUCAUUGUUAAUGCAACUAUUGUGUCAUUUUAUCCAGGCAAGAGCUUAUAUGGUAAUAUUGUUUUUUUCUGUUAAGUAAAUUGAGUUAUUUUCAAUUAAUAAAAAGAUUUUCAACAUGGAGCAUGUGUUUGAAUCUUUUGUUCGAUGGAUGGAGUCUUAUGAAAUUACCAUUCAAAUUAAGGUCCAUACCAAUCCAAGGUCAUCUUACAAUGAAUCCCGAGGCCAACUCGAAAGCGGCGGGUGAGAGGUACGGUCCACCGUCGCAAUUUUAUUUACGCACCAUCUCGCUAAUCUCUUCUUUGGUAGGUGCGUCGGGGCUGGGGUCCUUUCCACAAUAGGUCGGGCUUCUAUAGGGUGUUU
This 983-nucleotide long non-coding RNA is filed under the name Androctonus crassicauda. The record is from RNAcentral. Lineage: Eukaryota; Metazoa; Arthropoda; Arachnida; Scorpiones; Buthidae.